GCUGGCGGCGUGCCUAACACAUGCAAGUCGAACGAAGCAACCGGGGCUUGCUCUGGUUGACUUAGUGGCGGACGGGUGAGUAAUGCGUGAGCAACCUGCCUUUCAGAGGGGGACAACAGUUGGAAACGACUGCUAAUACCGCAUAACGUAUCGAGGGGGCAUCCUCUUGAUACCAAAGGAGCAAUCCGCUGAAAGAUGGGCUCACGUCUGAUUAGUUAGUUGGCAGGGUAACGGCCUACCAAGACUGCGAUCAGUAGCCGGACUGAGAGGUUGAACGGCCGCAUUGGGACUGAGAUACGGCCCAGACUCCUACGGGAGGCAGCAGUGGGGAAUAUUGGGCAAUGGGCGAAAGCCUGACCCAGCAACGCCGCGUGAAGGAAGAAGGUCUUCGGAUUGUAAACUUCUUUUAUGAGGGACGAAGGACGUGACGGUACCUCAUGAAUAAGCCACGGCUAACUACGUGCCAGCAGCCGCGGUAAUACGUAGGUGGCAAGCGUUAUCCGGAUUUACUGGGUGUAAAGGGCGCGUAGGCGGGAGAGCAAGUCAGGUGUGAAAUCCAUGGGCCUAACCCAUGAACUGCACUUGAAACUGU
RNAcentral lists this ribosomal RNA (592 nucleotides) under uncultured rumen bacterium. RNAcentral's name for it is "bacterial SSU rRNA". It matches the Rfam family "Bacterial small subunit ribosomal RNA", at positions 35 to 636 of the family's 1533-position model. The record is from RNAcentral.